RNAcentral lists this transfer RNA (57 nucleotides) under Dipodomys ordii (Ord's kangaroo rat). It matches the Rfam family "tRNA", at positions 8 to 63 of the family's 71-position model. From Rfam's summary of the family: Transfer RNA (tRNA) molecules are approximately 80 nucleotides in length. Their secondary structure includes four short double-helical elements and three loops (D, anti-codon, and T loops). Lineage: Eukaryota; Metazoa; Chordata; Mammalia; Rodentia; Heteromyidae. The record is from Rfam by way of RNAcentral.
UGGCUUAGUGGUAGAGUACUUGCCUAGGAGGCAUGAGGUCCUGGGUUCGAUUCCUGG